CAGGGGGUAUUUUAUGUUUAAAAUGUUAGUUUUGGGGACUAAUGAAAUGGCUUGGCGUCUUUCCUCUGA
RNAcentral lists this transfer RNA (69 nucleotides) under Heterotermes vagus. Its description in RNAcentral is "tRNA-Pro". The record is from RNAcentral. Lineage: Eukaryota; Metazoa; Arthropoda; Insecta; Blattodea; Rhinotermitidae.